UGUAUGUGUAUAUACAUAUGUAUCAUGUAAACAAGUUAGCAGCAUCUUUACCAGCCUUUCCUGGAAUAUUUAUGAUGCCACUAAACAGUAAUAGCAUGAGAGACAGGCCCACAGUCUAGACUGGGUUGAGUUUUGAUUAAACUUCUUCAGCCAUAACCUGAACAGAAUCAGGUCCCAUCCGGAAGUUAUCAGACUGCAGGCCUGUAUUUUGUGAGCCAACAGUAAUAUUUACUGCCAGCCUUGCAUAACAAUGCCCUUUGUGACUGCAUGUGACUUUUGGUAGCUGUAGUUUAUGUCUAAAAGCAGUUCGAGUUUUAUAGAGGUAAUUCAUGAUUAUUUGGACAAGCAGGGUG
Molecule: long non-coding RNA, 353 nt
Filed under: Androctonus crassicauda
Lineage: Eukaryota; Metazoa; Arthropoda; Arachnida; Scorpiones; Buthidae
Source: RNAcentral